GAUGAACGCUGGCUACAGGCUUAACACAUGCAAGUCGUGGGGAAACGGCAUUAUGUGCUUGCACAUUCUGGACGUCGACCGGCGCACGGGUGAGUAUCGCGUAUCCAACCUGCCCCUUACUUGGGGAUACCCCGUCGAAAGACGGCCUAAUACCCGAUGUGUUUCAUUGACGGCAUCCGAUAUGAAACAAAGGUUUUUCCGGUAAGGGAUGGGGAUGCGUCUGAUUAGCUAGUUGGCGGGGCAACGGCCCACCAAGGCGACGAUCAGUAGGGGUUCUGGGAGGAAGGUCCCCCACACUGGAACUGAGACACGGUCCAGACUCCUACGGGAGGCAGCAGUGAGGAAUAUUGGUCAAUGGGCGGAAGCCUGAACCAGCCAAGUAGCGUGCAGGAUGACGGCCCUAUGGGUUGUAAACUGCUUUUAUGCGGGGAUAAAGUGGCCCACGUGUGGGUUUUUGCAGGUACCGCAUGAAUAAGGACCGGCUAAUUCCGUGCCAGCAGCCGCGGUAAUACGGAAGGUCCGGGCGUUAUCCGGAUUUAUUGGGUUUAAAGGGAGCGUAGGCCGCCCCUUAAGCGUGUUGUGAAAUGCGGGUGCUCAACAUCCGACUUGCAGCGCGAACUGGGGGGCUUGAGUGCGCCGAAAGUAGGCGGAAUUCGUGGUGUAGCGGUGAAAUGCUUAGAUAUCACGAAGAACUCCGAUUGCGAAGGCAGCUUACUGUAGCGCAACUGACGCUGAUGCUCGAAAGCGUGGGUAUCGAACAGG
This 762-nucleotide ribosomal RNA is filed under the name uncultured Prevotella sp. Its description in RNAcentral is "bacterial SSU rRNA". It matches the Rfam family "Bacterial small subunit ribosomal RNA", at positions 28 to 776 of the family's 1533-position model. Lineage: Bacteria; Pseudomonadati; Bacteroidota; Bacteroidia; Bacteroidales; Prevotellaceae. The record is from RNAcentral.